RNAcentral lists this ribosomal RNA (253 nucleotides) under uncultured bacterium. Its description in RNAcentral is "partial 16S ribosomal RNA". It matches the Rfam family "Bacterial small subunit ribosomal RNA", at positions 524 to 776 of the family's 1533-position model. The record is from RNAcentral.
UACGUAGGGUCCAAGCGUUGUCCGGAAUUACUGGGCGUAAAGAGCUCGUAGGUGGUUUGUCGCGUUGUUCGUGAAAACUCACAGCUCAACUGUGGGCGUGCGGGCGAUACGGGCAGACUGGAGUACUGCAGGGGAGACUGGAAUUCCUGGUGUAGCGGUGGAAUGCGCAGAUAUCGGGAGGAACACCUGUGGCGAAGGCGGCCCCCUGGUUGGAUACUGACGCUGAUACGCGAAAGCGUGGGGAGCAAACAGG